RNAcentral lists this unclassified non-coding RNA (343 nucleotides) under Hevea brasiliensis (rubber tree). The record is from RNAcentral. Lineage: Eukaryota; Viridiplantae; Streptophyta; Magnoliopsida; Malpighiales; Euphorbiaceae.
CCUAUCAUCCCUUGCCGCCUCAUCUCCCGCCGCCAUCGCCGAUGAUACCCCGACGGCGUAUGAGGUCCUCGCGGGAUACAAUUUCCCAAUUGGUAUCCUCCCUAAGGGCGCGACAGGGUACGAAUUAGACACUAGCACGGGUAAAUUCCUCGCCUAUUUGAACGGUUCGUGCAGCUUCGCUCUGGAAGGUUCCUAUCAGCUGAAAUACAAAUCAACAAUCAGUGGUUACAUAAGCCAAAACAAGCUCACAAAGCUGACUGGCAUAAGCGUGAAAGUGCUUUUCUUGUGGUUGAAUAUUGUGGAGGUGGUUAGAAAUGGAGAUGAUCUUGGAUUUUCCGUUGGG